Ribosomal RNA from Carlito syrichta (Philippine tarsier), 118 nucleotides. Lineage: Eukaryota; Metazoa; Chordata; Mammalia; Primates; Tarsiidae. The record is from Ensembl.
GUCUAUGACCAUACCAUCCUGAACGUGCCUGAUCUCGUCUGAUCCUGGAAGCUAAGCAGGGUUGGGACUGGUUAGUACUUGGAUGGGAGAUCAACCCAGAUAUAAGAUGGGGAGGGCU